CGAAGUCUGACGGAGCACGCCGCGUGAGUGAUGAAGGCUUUCGGGUCGUAAAACUCUGUUGUUAGGGAAGAACAAGUGCUAGUUGAAUAAGCUGGCACCUUGACGGUACCUAACCAGAAAGCCACGGCUAACUACGUGCCAGCAGCCGCGGUAAUACGUAGGUGGCAAGCGUUAUCCGGAAUUAUUGGGCGUAAAGCGCGCGCAGGUGGUUUCUUAAGUCUGAUGUGAAAGCCCACGGCUCAACCGUGGAGGGUCAUUGGAAACUGGGAGACU
RNAcentral lists this ribosomal RNA (273 nucleotides) under Bacillus pseudomycoides. Its description in RNAcentral is "partial 16S ribosomal RNA". It matches the Rfam family "Bacterial small subunit ribosomal RNA", at positions 377 to 642 of the family's 1533-position model. Lineage: Bacteria; Bacillati; Bacillota; Bacilli; Caryophanales; Bacillaceae. RNAcentral also lists the same sequence under 1 other name. The record is from RNAcentral.